This 460-nucleotide ribosomal RNA is filed under the name uncultured bacterium. Its description in RNAcentral is "partial 16S ribosomal RNA". It matches the Rfam family "Bacterial small subunit ribosomal RNA", at positions 338 to 795 of the family's 1533-position model. The record is from RNAcentral.
CCUACGGGAGGCAGCAGUGAGGAAUAUUGGUCAAUGGACGAGAGUCUGAACCAGCCAAGUAGCGUGAAGGAUGACUGCCCUAUGGGUUGUAAACUUCUUUUAUAAAGGAAUAAAACGAGGCACGUGUGCCUUUUUGCAUGUACUUUAUGAAUAAGGAUCGGCUAACUCCGUGCCAGCAGCCGCGGUAAUACGGAGGAUCCGAGCGUUAUCCGGAUUUAUUGGGUUUAAAGGGAGCGUAGAUGGGUUGUUAAGUCAGUUGUGAAAGUUUGCGGCUCAACCGUAAAAUUGCAAUUGAUACUGGCAGUCGUGAGUACAGUUGAGGUAGGCGGAAUUCGUGGUGUAGCGGUGAAAUGCUUAGAUAUCACGAAGAACUCCGAUUGCGAAGGCAGCUUACUAAACUGCCACUGACAUUGAUGCUCGAAAGUGUGGGUAUCAAACAGGAUUAGAUACCCUUGUAGUC